CCCUUAGAUGUUCUGGGCAGCACGCGCGCUACAAUGGUCUUCGCAAACGGAUGCAUUCUCGAAGGAGAAUGCCAAUCUUGGAAUCUAUGCCUUGGUCGGGACAGUUGCUUGCAAUUGUCGAUCUUGAACGAGGAAUUCCUAGUAAGCGCGAGUCAUCAGCUCGCGCUGAUUACGUCCCUGCCCUUUGUACACACCGCCCGUCGCUACUACCGAUUGGAUGGUUUAGCGAGAACCUUGGACCGGAGCUCGGGUGGUCAGCAAUGGCCGCCCGAGACAUACUGGGAAAUCGCUCCAGCUUGAUCAUCUAGAGGAAGUAAAAGUCGUAACA
Molecule: ribosomal RNA, 328 nt
Filed under: uncultured eukaryote
Lineage: Eukaryota
Description: partial 18S ribosomal RNA
Rfam family: Eukaryotic small subunit ribosomal RNA
Source: RNAcentral